GACGAACGCUGGCGGCGUGCCUAAUACAUGCAAGUAGAACGCUGAAGAGAGGAGCUUGCUCUUCUUGGAUGAGUUGCGAAUGGGUGAGUAACGCGUAGGUAACCUGCCUUGUAGCGGGGGAUAACUAUUGGAAACGAUAGCUAAUACCGCAUAACAAUAGGUGACACAUGUCAUUUAUUUGAAAGGGGCAAUUGCUCCACUACAAGAUGGACCUGCGUUGUAUUAGCUAGUAGGUGAGGUAACGGCUCACCUAGGCGACGAUACAUAGCCGACCUGAGAGGGUGAUCGGCCACACUGGGACUGAGACGCGGCCCAGACUCCUACGGGAGGCAGCAGUAGGGAAUCUUCGGCAAUGGGGGCAACCCUGACCGAGCAACGCCGCGUGAGUGAAGAAGGUUUUCGGAUCGUAAAGCUCUGUUGUAAGUCAAGAACGAGUGUGAGAGUGGAAAGUUCACACUGUGACGGUAGCUUACCAGAAAGGGACGGCUAACUACGUG
This 497-nucleotide ribosomal RNA is filed under the name uncultured bacterium. RNAcentral's name for it is "partial 16S ribosomal RNA". It matches the Rfam family "Bacterial small subunit ribosomal RNA", at positions 28 to 507 of the family's 1533-position model. The record is from RNAcentral.